This 186-nucleotide ribosomal RNA is filed under the name Triticum aestivum (bread wheat). RNAcentral describes it as "partial small subunit ribosomal RNA". Lineage: Eukaryota; Viridiplantae; Streptophyta; Magnoliopsida; Poales; Poaceae. The record is from RNAcentral.
CUACGGAAGGGCCUCAACUCCAUCGUAGCACUCUCUGCUUGGUCCAUUUGAAAGCACCGCAACGCGGUCAUUUUCGAGAACCGGUGCCCCUCCACUGAAGACCUAAUACGCUUGAUCAAAGACGAUGCCCGCCUUUGGGCUAAGGCGGGUGCUCGAGGGCUAGCCGCGAUUAUCCCUGUAACUUAA